UUUAGACCCCGUAGUGUCCAAGAACACAGCCUAAACUCCUGAUCCUUCACCCGUUUGCACCUUAGCACAGUAUGUAGUAUGCAAGCAACAACCUUCUGCCUCCUUUCUCCAAAGAUGCUUUUGAGGCGAACUUAAAGGCAGCCGAUUAAUCUUUUAUUUUAAAUGAAUUACAUAGCACUUAUUCUUCUAUAGAUUUUUUUUUUUUUUUUUUUUUUUUUUUUUUUAAUGAGUAAACAAAGCAUGGGUCAAUUUCUUCAUCAGAAGGGGUCAGUUACAGUUUGCUUGGUUAUAUAAGCCAGCAUUGCGUAACAUACUGUCAACUGUCCAGUUGUUGAUCAACAUGAUAAAGCAAAUCCCUGGGACAUGCGUCUCUGGAUAAGACUCAAAUAAGUGUGCAUGUUUCUGAGUGUCAGUGCAUGCUAAAUUAGACAGAUGGUGGUUGUCAGACAGGUCUAUGCAUUAACUGGCAUUAGUUCACAGUGCUUCUGGUCAUUCUACCCAUUCCUCUUAAUUUCUGCCUCUAACGAUGGAGUCAACACUUUUUUGGCCCACUGUUUGGCAAUUCAGGGCCGAUAUAUGACACAUAUGUUAGACAUAUUACAACAUAUGUUAGACAUAAUUGUCAGCAAAUGUAAGCAAUGUGUUAGUGUAUUCAAGUCUUGUCAGAAAGAUCAUAUUUACAAAUUAACGGACAUGAACGUCACUACCAAGUCAUAAUUAUUGGUGGGAAACUCUUAAGUUUAUGAGUUGUGGGCGUGUAGGGCGCAGUGGAUUCAGCGUCUGUAUAAAUGGUAAAUGUUUUUUUUAUGAAUAUUUACAACAAAACUACAAACAACAACAAAAUUUGCAUGCACAAAAUACCAUAGUAUUGUACAAUUAAUAUAAUAUAUAUAAAAUUUAAGUUUACAGCACCUUUAUAAAUUGAGUAAAAACAUAAAGCAAAAACACAUUUGAUGCCCAUUAUUCAUAAUUUUGUAGGUGUAGACUUUAAAAAACCUUUUUAAUUUUUGUUAAAAAUGUAUAUCGGCAUCUUGUUCUGAUUGAAGUGAUUUGAGCACACCUGACAUCGUAAAUACGACUUCACAACUCGUAAAUGCGAAUGUCCAAAGACUUGAACGCAUUUCUAGUUGAAGUGACUAUUAUCAGCUCUUUGAUUGGCUGAUUGGCAAGAAAAUGCACAGACUCAAGCCAUACUUCACAGUUCAGUAAAUAAAUGAAUAAAUAAACAAACAGUCACUGGCAAAAAAAUGUAUAAUUCAUAUUAGAAAUAGAAAUAUUUUCAAUUUUUUUUUUCAUUAGAAUAUACAGCUACUUUUUAAUAGUCGUCAACGAGAAAAAAUGCUUUUUACAUCUACCAGUUAGGACUAACGUCAUGCUAACCAGCCUAUAUACUAAGGGGGCAUUUACACAACACUUUUUUAUGCAUUUUGGCCAUUCAUUUACACAAUAACAGAAUUUUGGGGGCCUGUAAAUGCAAACUUUUGAAAACAGGUUUCAACUGUUUUUUCAAAACAGUUUUCAUUGCCGUGUAAACUACAACAUAUGAAUUUAUGAAAAUGGUGAUGUCAUGUGCAUGCGUGGGAUGUGUUUAUAGGCGCAUAGUGUUUCUUUACAAAGUGGCAUCGACAUCUACUGGUCUGUCAGCAGAUUACAGCUUUUUUUUUUUUUUUUCCAAGGAUUCAUGCAAACGGGGAACAUUUUACGUUUUUAGUACAUCGUUGUAAUGUAAACAUACUCAGUCUCUGAAUAUUCAAUGCCACUUUCAACCAGUGUUUCCCAUUUUUCAUAAAAUGGGAAACCUAGGAAUGGCUCAUUGAUAGUCUCUGCACAUAAAACUUGUAUAGGAUAAGUGUUUUAACAACAAAAAAACAUCACCUUUCACUCUUUUUGAGUUUCUGUCCUACUAUAAUGCCACUCAAACCAACUUCUCUCCCAUUGAAUUGUUUUAAUGCAGUCUCUUUUGUAAAAAAAUGUUUUUUACAAAAGAGACUGCAUUAAAAAAAAAUUGCCUUGUCAGAUUGAGUCCGAGUUCAUAGUUUAGUGUGAGCGUGUGCAAGAUAAUAUUAGUGCUUGGAUGAUGGUGAAUCUCAUCUUCUGUGGGUUAAGAUACAGAAAUACCACCUCAUUAAUUCAAUCAUAGCUCAUUUUUCAACACCCAAAAGUCUUUUUUCUGGCCUGUUGAUGGUCCACACAAUUACUAAUGGUCUGCUGGAUCUCUGAACUGAAACAUGACUUUUGUUCCACCGCGAUUAAUCAAACCGUGGUGGAGGAGCUUUAGGUUCACAGGUUAAAGCUCAUUUAGCAUGCAGUCGCUCUGUAUUAUUACAUCUGAAACAGAGUCGAGGGUGAACUCAUUUUGCAGGGUUUUACUUCAGAGAUAAUAUAGAUAGUGUUCUGUGACCCUCUAUUGCACAAUAUUGUCUAUAUAAAUAGACAUUUAUAAUGUUACAAAAAUAUUUCAAAUAAAUGCUGUUCUUUUGAAUUAGCAUAACUGUUUUCAACAUUGAUAAUCAGAAAUUAUUCUUGAGCAGCAAAUCGGCAUAUCAGAAUGAUUUCUGAAGGAUCAUGUGACACUGAAGACUGGAGUAAUGAUGCUGAAAAUUCAGCUUUGAUUACAGGAAUAAAUUACAUUUUAUGUAUCCACAUAGAAAACGGAUAUUUGAAAUUGUAGUAUUUCUUAAUAUUACUGUUUUUACUGAUCAAAUAAAUGCAGCUUUGGUGAGCAGAAGAGACUUCUUUAAAAAGCAUUAAAAACUCUUUCCGACCCCAAACAUUUGAAUGUUGUGUUAAAGCCAAACUAUAAAUCUUCUGAUUUCAUCUGUCUCAGAUAGUGCAGACUUUACAGAUAUCCAUCGCUCGGUUUUGCUCUGUGGUGAAGCAGGCUGUAGGGUUGAAUCAUGUCUCCCUCUCCCUGUACUUUCAUUCAGGAGUUUGGCAACAGGGCUGUGGUAGUUUUCUGGCCAUAGUUUGAUCUCAGAAAUGUGGCACAGCUGUAACACCGUUUGUGUGCUUGACUCCGGAGUCAAUGGAGACGCAGGUGUCCAUCACGCUCUCAACCACACCACAAUGUGCCUUAGGGAACGUAAUGCUGCCGAUCUGUGCGCUCCGGUGUGGACACAGUGGGAAUGAUCUCAUUUUGGAGAUUGAAAGGAACAUGUUGCAGCCUAAAGGAUGCUUGUAUUAGAGCAUAUUCCUACAAGAAUCAAAUGAUUUGAGACACUUUGAUUGCUGCAGCAGCACAAUGGGAACCUGCUUUAAAGACACUCAGAAGUGGAGGAGCUUGUUUGAUUAUCAAGUGAAUUCCUGCUGGGGAAAUAGAGCAGAUUCAUAAUGUCAACAUGCUCUGAAUAUCUGUAAAUGUUAGGAUCAGUAGAAUGAUUUUUUUGUUUGUUUGUUUUACAGUUGAAUCACAAAAAGCAUAUGAGGGUUAAACCGUUUUUUUUUUUUUUUUUUUUUAAGACUUAUUGCGUGUGGCGGAGACAGUUUGAUUGAGAAUCUCUUCAAAAAUGAGCAAAAAGACCAACUUUUUAUUUUUAUUAGUAGGACUGUCAUUGAAACAAAAUAUAGUUUGAAUAAUAUUAUGCAUCUAAUUGUUGAUUGUUGUAUAUGCAUUUAGAGGGGGUAAAGUUAAUAAAAAAAUAAGUUCACAGUAGAUGAAAUUGUAUAUAAAUGGAGAAGAAGCACUUUAUUUAUUUAUGCUGGUCAGUAGAACUUGGGUUUCAUUGUGAUUUUUCAUUCAAACAUCAUCUGUUCACGCAUUGCAUAUCCAUCUGCUUGCUCCUUAUCGGUCCGAUCUGAAAUUUGUGAAUGAAUGAGUAACACCGGACCCUCAGGGACGCUCUUUGUAAACAUUUACUUAACGCCAGCACAGCAAUACAGCACUGUUUCACGUGCAAAAAUCCAGUUAAAGCUAUCACAGAUUGCACUGUUAAAUGUGUGAGAUGAACAUAUGGAAAGUAGAUGUAAAGUGGGACAGUUGAGCUCAUCUAUCAUUAUGUAAAUAUUCUUGGGAAUGGGAUGGUGCUUAUGUAAGCAUUUUUACCAUCUUAUAACCAACAGCCAUGAAGUUUCAGAAUGUGUCUCACUUUACCUGGAUUCAAAGUGAUCUGAACUGACUGGAUUUCAUUAAAAAAAUCGCCACCUC
This is an RNA transcript of Megalobrama amblycephala (Wuchang bream), 4144 nucleotides long. RefSeq lists it as uncharacterized. The transcript has 2 exons. NCBI's taxonomy places the organism in Eukaryota, Metazoa, Chordata, Actinopteri, Cypriniformes, Xenocyprididae. The record is from RefSeq and is a predicted model, not a curated record.